GUCGUGUGGCCUCAGUCCUUCGCCGUCCCUCGCCGUCCUUCGCCAUCGCACGCCACCGCACCCCAUCUCUCGAAAUCUGCAGACAUCUUGAUUUUUCCCACGCUGUCUGUCAGGUCUCCGCCGCCACUCGACGCCAGGGCGCCGGGUGAGUCCACAGCAGGGCGCAUGGUCGGCUCCACUCUCACCAUCGGGGGAAACUGAGGCCCCGGGGAAGGCGGCCAGAGAGGUCAGGCCCUGUCCUUGGUGCAGUGUCUCGUCCUCUUUGCCGGAGUGAGCCCCCCAGGAUUCGCGUGUCCUCGGGAAAGACACUGGCAGGCCUUGUGGGCUGUGCUGCACCUCGGACGGCUUCGCACCAGCCAGCGCCCUCUCUCUCCUGCAGCACUCUGAUCUGCACCCCCUGAGGGGCUUCCACUGUCCGCGGGGUGAGAAUGCCCCUGGGAGUGUCACAUGACUGCCGCCCCAUGUGUGUGAGAGGCGUCCUCUGGGAGAGCAUGGAUCCUGAGGUCCCAGGAUUGUCAGCUGACCUCUGUCCUGUGUGCCCAGUGGCCCCAGGUGACGUGUCUUCAAGAAGAGGCUGAGCUGCGGUGCUUGUAAGGGUCUCAUUCUGUCACCCAGGCUGGAGUGCAGUGGUGCAAUGAUGGCUCACUGCAGCCUCGACCUGGGCUCAAGUGAUCCUCCACCUCAGCUUCCUGAGUAGCUGGGACCACAGAGUCAUGUGCUGUUCCUGGGGCUUGGAUGAUGUAGGGGAAGCAAGGUGAAAGUGGUAUCCCGUGGUUCCACGUUCUGUCCUGCUGUGGGGCUGUCCCUCACAUGCUUUCAGUGGCUGUUGCAGAGGAAGAGCCUCCGGAAAUCUGCGUGGGUAAAGUGAGCUCCCCGGGGGAACCGUCCUCCUCCCUUGAGCGCUGGUGUGUCCAUAGUGUGCUGUGAUCUGGAUUAGCAGUGAGUUUUUCUUUCAGGGUGUGUGUGUAUGAUGUUAGGACCAUAUGCUCCUGACCUUUUCCAACCCAAAAGCGUUUCCAUUUUUUUAAUGCUGGAAGUGUCUUAACUCCUUUUGGGGUCUUAGAAGGACACACGGUGGCCGUGGCUGGGCCUCUGCUCAGCUGGGCUGCUCUCCCUGCCUCAGGCCCUUGACACCAGCCUCCCUCCCUUGCUGGCUCUCUUUCUGUCCUUCCCUGCUCUUGUAUCCAAAAGUGAUCAUGGGUUGCCUGUGUCCCGAUCAUUAACAGUGCAGGGGUAGGAGUGCUGAAAGACAUCUUCCCUGCGUUGGUCCAGCCUUCCCUUUCAAACCCUGGAGCUUUCCCACGCUGCAGCCUUUUUCCAACUAGGCUUUCAGAGCUUGGGCCUUUGUGGGCCCAUGUGAUGUGGUGACUAGACCCACCCCCUGACUUCUGAGGGUUCAUUUUGUCUUUUCAUGUUAGGGAUCCUCCUGCCAGAAACCAGUCUGCAUUUCUCUCUGGGCCCCACGCUGGAAUGAAUUCAGAUAGCAGUGAAGGGCACACGUGAGAACUGCGAAUCACGGGCUUUGCUUCAUGAAAUGUGAAAUCCACAUUGUUUCCACAGGCACCAUCAGUAAUGUCGAACAAAUGGAGAAAGUUGCAGGUGGGGCUAGGAAAGCUGUAUUCCUGUGGAUUACUCUAGCUGGUCAUUUGCCCCGAUUGUGAACUGCUUGAAAGAAAAACGAAACUUCUAAGAUGUUUGUCCUUUCAUGUCCUUUCUGUUGGGAUUUUUUAUUUGGUGUGCGUGAAUGAGGAGCUUCGCCCUGCUUGAAUGGGACCCCUCUCAGUGGUGUCAGCUUGGGGAGGAGGAGAUGGCCCUGGAGACUAAAUACUUGUAUGCUUUCUUACCCUCUUAGGUCUCAGCCUUAGAUCCAAGGACAGUCCAAGGAAGUCCUAAGACCAUGGAGUUGGUGAUCUGGGAUCUGGGUUUGCUGAUAUUUCUCACCGUGGUGAGUUGAUGCCAAGAGCCAGAACCCACAGCCAGAGGCUCAGCUGGUCCGUGUUUAUGCAGAUGGGAACCUCAAAUCACUGGUCUCACUUGUCCUUUGUUUCAGAAUCUCUUGGUGGUGUUUGUGGGCACGAGAGGGGCAGAGAAUGGAGAGUGAGGCUACCACAUGAAGCGUCACCAGAGCUGCUCCCUGCUGCCUGCUCAGAGCACCCCGGAUCCACUGUUCAAUCUGCACAAGAUUCGGGGUCCAGACAUGGGAGACUUCAGCUGCCUCAGAGGACCGUGGACAGGGAAGGCCAGCCUCGCAUCCCUCUGUCCAUGCCUGGAAUGACUUUAAUAACCAAGAGUUUUAUUUUUGAAUUUGUAGCUGUCGUUCACUUUUUACCCACCCAUUCAAUAAACCUUACAGAAUUGCU
Molecule: long non-coding RNA, 2360 nt
Filed under: Homo sapiens (human)
Lineage: Eukaryota; Metazoa; Chordata; Mammalia; Primates; Hominidae
Description: small nucleolar RNA host gene 17
Rfam family: Small nucleolar RNA SNORA71 (bases 1177-1304)
Source: RNAcentral